UGGGGAAUAUUGCACAAUGGGCGAAAGCCUGAUGCAGCAACGCCGCGUGAGCGAUGAAGGCCUUCGGGUUGUAAAGCUCUGUCUUCUGGGACGAUAAUGACGGUACCAGAGGAGGAAGCCACGGCUAACUACGUGCCAGCAGCCGCGGUAAUACGUAGGUGGCAAGCGUUGUCCGGAUUUACUGGGCGUAAAGGAUGCGUAGGCGGAUACUUAAGUCAGAUGUGAAAAUCCCGGGCUUAACUUGGGAACUGCAUUUGAAACUGGGUAUCUAGAGUGCGGGAGAGGAAAGUGGAAUUCCUAGUGUAGCGGUGAAAUGCGUAGAGAUUAGGAAGAACACCAGUGGCGAAGGCGACUUUCUGGACCGUAACUGACGCUGAGGCAUGAAAGCGUGGGGAGCAAACA
This 402-nucleotide ribosomal RNA is filed under the name uncultured bacterium. RNAcentral's name for it is "bacterial SSU rRNA". It matches the Rfam family "Bacterial small subunit ribosomal RNA", at positions 355 to 774 of the family's 1533-position model. The record is from RNAcentral.